GUUACAAGGCAAUUACCCAGAUGAUUCAAGUAUGAAUAUGAAUCUUCUUAAAUGUAACAACAGAUGAAAAGUGUGGGGAGGGGGAUCGUCUCUUCUUUAACUCCUCCCUCCAGUUUCUGAAUCAAUAUUAGGAAAUUUGAUCCCACAAAAGGCCACUUAUACAACUGAGAAGAGUAAAAUUUGGUCAGAGUAAAGUAAUUUGUCUACAGCGCCACCAUCAGUAAGUGGAGUAACUGAAAAAUUACUGAAGAACUUAGAUUUAUUCUGUAUGACUCUGAAAAACGAAAGAACAGACAGGCUAUUUCGGCUCAUUCCAAGAGGGAAGCGUUCAAGUAAUAAACGUGCAAGUGCCAAGGGAGAGAAAGAACCAUACAAGUGAAAGAGUAAGAGCGCGACGCAAACUCGAAAUUGCAGCUGCUUUGCUAAUAAGAUAGAGCGUCAGUAGCAUUAUCUUCAGUACAGAAUUGUUUCGGCUCGAAGUAGUCGGGGCCACCGGGAAGCCCCAUAGGUGUUUUCUGUACCUCUAGGUCAAGCUAGGAAGACCAAGAACGUGACAACACGAGACUCUUCUGUGCUGCUUCGGUCACUAGAUCAUGUCCGAAAGGCACCGCUCUCAGCUGAGAACACUACAAAUCCCAUCGUGCCUCUCCAGCGGAGGUGGGCGGGCCCUUGGUGCACGUGGGCGACCCUGACCAAUAACGACUGUCGUUACAGCAAACAGUUUGGCCGCGUUUGUAAAAGGCCGCAGCAGGCAAAGAGAGACUCGGCGAGGGCGGUCGCCAGCGAGAGGUCCCUAGAGGUGCGAGGUAGGUAAGGGAACUCUGUGUGCGAGGCCGGGAGCGGCCGGACACGGCCUGGGGUGGGGGUCAAGGCGGAGAAUGUGUUCUGGGGACUGCGUGUCGGGGUGGUUACACUUCUGCUGGGGCUCACAUAGCACCGGAAGUGGGCGUCGUGCAGAGGAUGCCGGGAUGCAGGUCGCAUGGGAAGUGCGUGUGGUAGCCGGAUGGUCCCGGAAGCUGUACUUAGGCGCGCGCUCCUAAACAACACUGUGGGACUGAGGCCCGGAUUCUGUGAUCUGACAGCAACCGACCUGAUCCCCACACUCAGUAAAGGCCUACGAGCUUUGACGCUUCGGUCCAAUUCGACAGUCUCAUCCCUAAAAUGGGUAAAUAGCGCCUCCACAGGUCCCUUCAGUGAAUGCGCCUACUCCAGCAGUUCCUUCUCACCUGGGGAGCGCUAAACACGCCCCAAACCAGCGUCCCCUACACCGACCAGCUCUGCGGCUGGGUGGCACCAAGGCGAAACCUACCUCGUUCUGGGUUCCCUCUCCCAGCGCCAGGCGCUGUUCAUCCUCUUGCUAAGGAGAGACGACCAUCCCGAGACCCUUCAGGUUUCCAACGCAGCUCCUUCACAAGUCACGCUCCUUGUGUAUCCUUUCAAGACAGAGUCUGCAAGCCGGGCUCGGUGGCGCUGCCUGUCAUCCCAGCACUCGGGAGGCAGAGGCAAGAGGAUCUCGAGUUCGAGGACAGCUAGGCUAGUUAGAAAGUCUCACAGAGGGACCUCUGUGAUUUGGAGGCCAGCUUGGUCAACAGAUUGACUUCAAGACCAGCCCAGAGACCAGAAGAAAGAAUCAGACCUCUGGAGCUGAAGUUACAGGCAGUUCUGAGUAGCAUGUGGGUGCUAGGAAUCGAACCCAGGUCCUCUGCAAAAGCAACAAGUGCAUAUAACCACUGAGCCGUCUCUAGAUCUCCCUCUCUCUUUCUUAUCCCUUUAGCAUUUGAAUUUCAUUCUCCCUCUCUUUUUUAAGGUAGUGAUAGUGUUAUUGAAAUGCUAUACACAUAAAAUCAAUUUUUAAAAAAUAUUACAAUUCAAGAGAUCUUAUAAAUCUACAGAAUUGAAAAUCAUUUCACAGAGUUUAUAAUAUCUUUCAUCAUCCUGAAAGAAACACUGUAACCAUCACUACUCAGUCCCUCCUCCGUCCAGUCCUGUACCACUAGCCUCCUUCUGUUUUUACAUAUUUUCCUAUUCUGGAUGUUUCGCUCAUGGAAUCAUACAAUGUAUGGGCUUCUGUAUUGAACUCCUUUCAUGUGGCGUACUGUUUCAAAUGGCUAGUCGUGAGAAAUCUUGCUCAAUGUAAGUAUCCAAUAGAGAUUUGCAGAUGAAACUACAGUGAGAUACCAUAUGAUGCCCACUACAAUCAGAGGGCUGAAAUGAAGAAGACUGCAGAAAUAGAAAUCUUAUGUUGCCUGUGGGAAUAUAAAGGGCACAGCCCCUUUGGAAAACAGCUUUUCAGGUUCUGAAAAUGUUAUGUUCAGAGAAGAUAGCCAUGUUUACUGUGUUUGAACAUUAGUUUACAUGUAUUGAGCUAUAUAGCCCAGCAUUGUGGUCCAUACCUGUAAUCCUAUCACUUAGGAGGCUGAGGAAGAGGAUUAUUAAGAGUUCGAGGCCUGCCUAGGCUACCUAAUAUGUUCCAGGUCACAGAA
Molecule: long non-coding RNA, 2483 nt
Organism: Peromyscus eremicus (cactus mouse)
Lineage: Eukaryota; Metazoa; Chordata; Mammalia; Rodentia; Cricetidae
Exons: 3
Source: RefSeq, a predicted model, not a curated record